This 253-nucleotide ribosomal RNA is filed under the name uncultured bacterium. RNAcentral describes it as "partial 16S ribosomal RNA". It matches the Rfam family "Bacterial small subunit ribosomal RNA", at positions 524 to 776 of the family's 1533-position model. The record is from RNAcentral.
UACAGAGGGGGCAAGCGUUGUUCGGAAUUACUGGGCGUAAAGGGCGCGUAGGCGGCCUGCUAAGUCGAACGUGAAAUCCCUGGGCUCAACCCAGGAACUGCGUCCGAUACUGGUUGGCUUGAAUCCGGGAGAGGGAUGUGGAAUUCCUGGUGUAGCGGUGAAAUGCGCAGAUAUCAGGAGGAACACCAAUUGCGAAGGCAGCUCGCUGGGACGUUACUGACGCUGAGACGCGAAAGCGUGGGGAGCAAACAGG